UAUGUGAUCGUCUCUCGCAUAUCAAUAAGCGGAGGAAAAGAAACUAACAAGGAUUCCCCUAGUAACGGCGAGUGAAGCGGGAAGAGCUCAAAUUUGAAAUCUUAAAGGGUUUCCCUUUACGAAUUGUAGUUUAAAGAAGUGUUUUCUGUUGAGGUUUUGGUAAAAGUUCUUUGGAAUAGGACAUCAUAGAGGGUGAGAAUCCCGUAUUUGACCUUUACUUUCAACUUUGUGAUACACUUUCAAAGAGUCGGAUUGUUUGGGAAUGCAGUCCAAAAUGGGUGGUAAAUUUCAUCUAAAGCUAAAUAUUGGCGAGAGACCGAUAGCGAACAAGUACCGUGAGGGAAAGAUGAAAAGAACUUUGAAAAGAGAGUUAAACAGUACGUGAAAUUGUCGAAAGGGAAGCGUUUGACACCAGUGUUGUUUUUCUGAAAAUCAAUUAAAGAACUGUUUAUGCUAAGCUGUUUAGACUUUAUCAGCUAUCUGUUUAGUUUUGAGCUUUUCUUUAAUGCACUUUUCAGUUAACAAGUCAACAUCAAUUUCUUUUGCUGUAAAAAAGCUUGAGGAAGGUGGCUUGAGAUUCGUCUUAAGUGUUUAUAGCCUCUUGCCUAUGCAGUCGGAGAGAUUGAGGUCUGCAGCGUAGAUCCUUCGGGGCUAAAUGCAUUUGUGCUAAGUUAUAGCAUUUUAUAGACAACUUGUUGACUAUGAUUUGUCUUGUAGCUUACUCGCUUAUGUUAUUUUACCUACGCUUAGGAUGUUGAGCGCAUGUCUCUCUCU
This 774-nucleotide ribosomal RNA is filed under the name uncultured Neocallimastigales. RNAcentral's name for it is "partial large subunit ribosomal RNA". It matches the Rfam family "Eukaryotic large subunit ribosomal RNA", at positions 24 to 616 of the family's 3401-position model. Lineage: Eukaryota; Fungi; Neocallimastigomycota; Neocallimastigomycetes; Neocallimastigales. The record is from RNAcentral.